CACGCUAGCCACGCCCCAUGAUCUCUCAUCACACAUUUCAGUAAGUUUCUUUUCCCUAACUCCGUUCUAUUUGUUUACUUCAUCUUCUUCUCUAUGCACGCACGGACACCACGAACCACGACACCAGACGAGCUUCUUCUUCUUCGCCACCAUCACGCACACGACUGUGACGGUUAUGUCCCCAGACGCGACACGCAUAUAUAGUCUACUUUUCGUAAACCCUAGGACUAUAAGCUAUUAUGAAGCAUUUGUGCAACGCAGCCUGUGCGGAUCUUACAGUUACUGACUUUCAGAAGCUGGAGUUAUUGGCUUUCAGAAGCCGAGGUUACCGGCUUUCAGAAGCCAGAGUUAUUGACUUUCAUAAACUGGAGUUAUCGGCUUUCAGAUCCCAGUGUUACUGACUUCCAAGAUAGAAACAAUGGUAAAACAUGAAUAUAAAUUG
Vigna unguiculata (cowpea) is the source of this 442-nucleotide long non-coding RNA. RefSeq lists it as uncharacterized. The record is from RefSeq and is a predicted model, not a curated record. NCBI's taxonomy places the organism in Eukaryota, Viridiplantae, Streptophyta, Magnoliopsida, Fabales, Fabaceae.